AUGCAAGUCGAGCGGGCUUAUUCGGGCAACUGGAUAAGUUAGCGGCGAACUGGUGAGUAACACGUAGGUAAUCUGCCGUAGAGUGGGGGAUAACCCAUGGAAACAUGGACUAAUACCGCAUAUACUCUUGACACAUAAGUGUAGUAGAGGAAAGGAGCAAUCCGCUUUACGAUGAGCCUGCGGCCUAUUAGCCUGUUGGUAAGGUAAAGGCUUACCAAAGCUACGAUAGGUAGCCGACCUGAGAGGGUGAUCGGCCACAUUGGGACUGAGAUACGGCCCAGACUCCUACGGGAGGCAGCAGCUGAGAAUCUUCCACAAUGGACGAAAGUCUGAUGGAGCGACAUCGCGUGAGGGAUGAAUGCCUUCGGGUUGUAAACCUCGGAAAUUAUCGAAGAAUGAGUGACAGUAGAUAAUGUAAGCCUCGGCUAACUACGUGCCAGCAGCCGCGGUAAUACGUAGGAGGCAAACGUUGCUCGGAUUUACUGGGCGUAAAGGGUGAGUAGGCGGAACUAUAAGUCUAAGGUGAAAGACCGAAGCUCAACUUCGGAAACGCCUCGGAUACUGUGGUUCUUGGAUAUUGUAGGGGAUGAUGGAAUUCUCGGUGUAGCGGUGGAAUGUGCAGAUAUCGAGAGGAACACCUAUAGCGAAGGCAGUCAUCUGGGCAUUUAUCGACGCUGAAUCACGAAAGCUGGGGGAGCAAACAGGCUUAGAUACCCUGGUAGUCCCAGCCGUAAACGUUGCACACUAGGUGCUCCUAUUAAAAUAGGCGUGCCGUAGCUAACGUAUUAAGUGUGCCGCCUGAGGAGUAUGCCCGCAAGGGUGAAACUCAAAGAAAUUGACGGGUCCCCGCACAAGUGGUGGAGCAUGUGGUUUAAUUCGAUGAUACGCGAAAAACCUUACCUGGGUUUGAAUUGU
Molecule: ribosomal RNA, 915 nt
Filed under: uncultured Brachyspira sp.
Lineage: Bacteria; Pseudomonadati; Spirochaetota; Spirochaetia; Brachyspirales; Brachyspiraceae
Description: bacterial SSU rRNA
Rfam family: Bacterial small subunit ribosomal RNA
Source: RNAcentral